This 498-nucleotide ribosomal RNA is filed under the name uncultured bacterium. RNAcentral's name for it is "partial 16S ribosomal RNA". It matches the Rfam family "Bacterial small subunit ribosomal RNA", at positions 899 to 1397 of the family's 1533-position model. The record is from RNAcentral.
ACUCAAAUGAAUUGACGGGGGCCCGCACAAGCGGCGGAGCAUGUGGCUUAAUCCGACGCAACGCGAAGAACCUUACCAGGGUUUGACAUGCGGGGUGAAACCGUGGAAACACGGCGCUCCUUCGGGAGCUCGCACAGGUGCUGCAUGGCUGUCGUCAGCUCGUGCCGUGAGGUGUUGCCUUAAGUGGCGCAACGAGCGCAACCCCUGUCCCAUGUUGCCAGCGGGUCAUGCCGGGGACUCAUGGGAGACUGCCGGUGCCAAACCGGAGGAAGGUGGGGAUGACGUCAAGUCGUCAUGGCCUUUAUGCCCUGGGCUGCACACAUGCUACAAUGCUUGCUACAAAGGGAAGCAAUUCCGCAAGGAGGAGCGAAUCCCAAAAAAGCAAGCUCAGUUCGGAUCGAGGUCUGCAACUCGACCUCGUGAAGUCGGAGUCGCUAGUAAUCGCGGAUCAGCAACGCCGCGGUGAAUACGUUCCCGGGCCUUGCACACACCGCCCGU